This 132-nucleotide ribosomal RNA is filed under the name uncultured bacterium. RNAcentral describes it as "partial 16S ribosomal RNA". It matches the Rfam family "Bacterial small subunit ribosomal RNA", at positions 355 to 504 of the family's 1533-position model. The record is from RNAcentral.
UGGGGAAUAUUGGACAAUGGGCGAAAGCCUGAUCCAGCAAUGCCGCGUGAGUGAUGAAGGCCUUAGGGUUGUAAAGCUCUUUUACCAGGGAUGAUAAUGACAGUACCUGGAGAAUAAGCUCCGGCUAACUCC